Molecule: RNA transcript, 3354 nt
Organism: Coregonus clupeaformis (lake whitefish)
Lineage: Eukaryota; Metazoa; Chordata; Actinopteri; Salmoniformes; Salmonidae
Exons: 5
Source: RefSeq, a predicted model, not a curated record
CCCAAAUUAUUUUCACAUACAGUAUAAUGUAUAAUAUCCUAAUUUACUGUUACGGUACUGUGUUAUUAAAAACAAAUAUUUAUUCUUCAUAAUUUCAUUCAAGGCAAGCAAGUCCAGUGGAAUUGUACCCUUCCAGUGUCCUACUGCAAAGCAGACCUUGAUGAGUCUUCGGAUGCUGCAGACUAUCUUCCAGACUCAUGUGGCAAUUCCUCGGAUGCUUCUAUUAUAAGUACUACAAGUUCUUGUAGUAAGGAAUAUAAAACCACAGAAAAGAAUCUCCACCACAAAUUGUCAGAGAACAAACCAUUAGGGAAUGUUACAGCACACAGUGGGGAUAGUACCACCAGUUCAGAGAAGCCAAGAACAUUAAGUUAUUCAAAGAUGCGCAGCAAUCCUUGUACUUCAGUAAUAAGCUGCAGUGCCAAUUCAUCAGAGAACACAUCACACCAGAAAAGCUCCAUAAAUGUCACACCUUUGUCAAUAACAGCAAAAGGAAGCAAGUACAACAAGAAGCAAUUUUGUCUUUAUUGUAAAAAGGCCAUUUAUAAAUUGGCAAGACACCUCGAAUCCAUCCACAGUGAAAAGCCUGAUGUUGCAAUGGCUUUCAGUUUUAAUAAAGGAUCCCGCAAAAGAAGAGAGUUGUUACGCUCUCUUAAGAAGAGAUGAAACUUUGACUAUAAUACUGAAGUGGCAAGCUGUGGCACUGGAGAGAUGGUUGCCUGUAAAAGACCUAGUAAUGCAAAACCAUCUGAUGACUACCGUGACUGCAAAUUUUGCGAAGGACUGUAUGCAAGAAAUUCCCUAUGGAGACAUGUGAGAAACUGCCCGAAGAAGUCUGUUGAGGGAGAGCCUCAAGUUGGGCGAAAACGGAUUAAACUGCACUUACCAAGACCUGACUCAGUUAAGGAAACUGUUUGGAAGAUUGCUUGUGAAAUGAACCAGGAUGACGUUUCCUCGGUUGUAAGGAGUGAAACUGAAUUCCUUUGUAUCGGCGAGUCACUGUUGAAUUCCAGGAAACCAUAUGAGAGAAGGAAUGACUACAUACGCCAAAAAAUUAGAGCGAUGGCAAGACUAUUGAUAACGGCAAGGGCUAUAACACCUUUGAAGAGCACCGAAGUCCUUGUUAUGCCCUGUAACUUUCCCCAUGUGAUACAGGCAGUAAGAUAUGUUGCUGGUUAUGAUGUUGAAAGCAACUCGUAUAAAAUCCCAUCAUUGGCUUUGAAAUUGGGACACAGUUUAGCCAAAGUUGCAGGCAUUAUUCAAUGCAAUGCCAUCACUGCACAUCGCCCUGCUGUUGCAGAGUCUGCAAAGCAAUUUGCCACUUUACAUCAGAAAAAGUGGACAGAGUCCAUUUCAGCUGCCGCAUUGGGUACGCUUCAACAAGCCAAAUGGAAUAAACCACAGGUUUGACCCUUUACAGAGGAUGUGUCGGUGCUGCACACGUUUCUUGCUACUGAGCGUGCUAAGUGUAUGAAGGACCUUGAGGAAGAACCCAACAGCAAAAGCUUUGGAAAUCUUCCUAAAGUGACUUUGAUGCAGGUAGUACUAUUUAACAGAAGGAGGGAAGGGGAAGUUUCAAAAAUGGAGCUUCAGUCUUUCACAUCCAGGGAUCUUACGGAGCUGAAUCCAGACAUUGUGAGGGGCCUUACUGACUUCGAGAGGAAGCUUGCAGAGCACUUUGAGAGAGUUGAGAUUCGAGGUAAAAGGUCAAGAAAGGUUCCAGUGCUUCUAACCCCUGACAUGAUCACUGCUAUGGACCUCCUCAUGAUAAGCAGAAAAGAGUGUCAAGUCCACAAAGAAAAUGUGUACAUGUUUACACGGCCAGGUGUCCUUUCCCAUUACAGAGGCUCUGACUGCUUUCGCAAGUAUUCAAACAAUGUGGUGCAAAGAACCCAGAGGCACUCACCUCAACAAGAUUGCGGAAACAAGUCGCCACUUUGUCCACACUACUAAACCUCAAAGAAAAUGAAAUGGAUCAACUUGCCACCUUUCUAGGACAUGACAUCCGUGUCCAUAGAGAAUUCUAUCGGCUUCCAGAGAGUACCCUGCAGCUCGCAAAAGUCAGCAAACUGUUGAUAGCAAUCGAAAAAGGAAGACUGCCUUACCUGCAGGGGAAAGGGCUGGAUGACAUUGAGGUCAAUCCUGAAGUAGAAAUGAGUGAUGAUGAUUCCAGUGAAGAAACCAUUGCUGACCUACAUCAAUGCAAAGGCUCAACAACAGAGACUUCUAGGGACCAGACACUUCUGAGGCAAACACCAGAGUCAACCACCCUGGACAACAUGGAGGGCACUUCUGAGUCAACCACCCUGGACAACAUGAAGGGCACUCCUGAGUCAACCACCUUGGAUAACGUACACAUGAGCAACACACAACCAAGACAUGGUAAAAUAGUCACAUCCCAAGCAUCCUCAAAGUGCUCCAAAGGAAAGCAAGCUGUGAAGGUGAGAAGCAAGUGGACAGGUGAUGAAGUGAAAGCUGUUGAGCGGCAUUUGCUUAAUUUCAUAACAAGCUGCAGAAUACCAGGUAAAAAGGACUGUGACUCCUGCCUCCAAGCAGAGCCAGUAGCUCUGAAAGACAGAGACUGGGUUGCUAUCAAAUACUACAUCCACAACAGAAAUGUAGCAUUAAAAAGGAAGAUGAAUAGAUAGAACUAGAGCAUGCCAACUGUAGCUCAGGUACCAUUCAAUUCCAAUUUCAAUCAGCUUCUCCUCAGAUAGUGUUAAUAUCUGUGGGUUUCAUGUUCAUAUUAUUUUAUUUUCCUUAAAUGAUUUAUAUUGUUGGUUCUUGUACAAACAUGCCACAUAGGCUCGACUGUAGAUCCCACAUGUUUGUAUGUUUAUGUAUAAUUGAGGGCUAUUAAUGAGCAUAUGUUUGCUACUUAUGGUCACAUUUUUUUGGGAUAACAGUUGAUGAUAUAUGUUAAUACUCUGCUCUCAUUGACAGGGAAAAGAGAUAAACAGUACUUAAAGGGAUUGUUAUUGUUCCUAAGUUUUCAGAAGCACUUUGUUCUUAACCACAAGUUGUUGAAUGUGGCAAGGUGUUUAAAUUACUGUUAAACUAUUACCAUUUCAAUGGGUGCUUGUAACAGGCCUUGUGUAUGGUAACUUGCACUAUGUAACUAUGAUGUAAAUCCCUAUGUUAUUUAGACAGGUUAGCUGAAUGUACACUGUCAUGUUUCAUAGAAGCUGGAUGCUUUAAUAGAGAGUUUCUCAUUCAUUUCAAACAUGCCAUUUCUACUGCCUUGUGCAUUGCAGGGAAGGAGGCAAAGUGUAGGUGGUCUAUUCUGGGUGUUCAAUUGAUUUGUUAAUUUGCAUAUUUUCGCUGGCACUCAAUAAAAGUAAGGCAUAAAGUGUU